RNAcentral lists this ribosomal RNA (253 nucleotides) under uncultured prokaryote. RNAcentral's name for it is "partial 16S ribosomal RNA". It matches the Rfam family "Bacterial small subunit ribosomal RNA", at positions 525 to 777 of the family's 1533-position model. The record is from RNAcentral.
ACGUAGGGCGCAAGCGUUAUCCGGAAUUAUUGGGCGUAAAGAGCUCGUAGGCGGUUUGUCGCGUCUGCCGUGAAAGUCCGGGGCUCAACUCCGGAUCUGCGGUGGGUACGGGCAGACUAGAGUGAUGUAGGGGAGACUGGAAUUCCUGGUGUAGCGGUGAAAUGCGCAGAUAUCAGGAGGAACACCAGUGGCGAAGGCGACUUUCUGGUCUGUAACUGACGCUGAGGCGCGAAAGCGUGGGGAGCAAACAGGA